This 602-nucleotide long non-coding RNA is filed under the name Zosterops lateralis melanops. RNAcentral describes it as "lncRNA (ENSZLMG00000003071.1)". Lineage: Eukaryota; Metazoa; Chordata; Aves; Passeriformes; Zosteropidae. The record is from RNAcentral.
AGAGCUCCCUGCGGGUGUUUCUUUGGCUGGUCUUAGGUUCCCUAUUCCCUGCUGGACAUUCCCUGUCAUGCUGGACAUUCCCAGUGCUCUCCUGGACAUUCCCAGUUCCCCGCUGGACAUUCCCAGUGCCCUGCCCAGCCGGGAAUGCCGCCGAAUGAAUGCUGAUGGAUCCUCCCCCAUUGGCAGAUCCUGCUCCAGGCCACUGUGUUCGCCCGCAUGCUGCCCGAGCAGAAGACCCAGCUGGUGUGCAGCCUGCAGGAGCUCAAUUACUGCGUGGGGAUGUGCGGGGAUGGUGCCAACGACUGCGGGGCGCUGCGGGCAGCCGAUGUCGGCAUCUCCCUGUCCGAGGCCGAGGCAUCGGUGGCCUCGCCUUUCACCUCGCGUGUGGCCACCAUCGAGUGCGUGCCCAGAGUCAUCCGRGAGGGCCGGUGCUCCUUGGUCACCUCCUUUGGGGUCUUCAAGUAUAUGGCCCUGUACAGCCUGGUCCAGUUCGUGUCCGUGCUCCUGCUCUACACCAUCAACACCAACCUGAGCGAUUUCCAGUUCCUGUUCUUCGACCUGGUGAUCACCACCACGGUGGCCGUGCUGAUGGGGCGCACGGG